Non-coding RNA from Phoenix dactylifera (date palm), 2047 nucleotides. NCBI's taxonomy places the organism in Eukaryota, Viridiplantae, Streptophyta, Magnoliopsida, Arecales, Arecaceae. The record is from RefSeq and is a predicted model, not a curated record.
AUCGGCUGGCAGGAUAUAGCAGGCCAUGCUGCAAGUUUGUUUGUCAGUGAUUCUGUUGUCUAUUGUUGUGAAGAAAAUUCUUCUCUCAUUCAAUGAAAGAAUUAGUUCUUCUAAAUGAUGUUCGCAAUGCAUAUUAUAUUGAUAUGAUUGACAACAAUUUCCAUGAAAUGCUGCUUCAAACAUCCAGGGAUAUCUUCUCUUAUCAUUUUUUGCAUGCAUGGUGCAAUUCAGUUGAAUGUGUUGUCACAACCUUGAAUACAAUUGCUGAAUAUGGUGAUCUUUGAUAUAUUUUUUUUGUAGACUCCAUAUGCUGUUCUGAUCCAAGGCAACAUCUUCUAUGGGCAUAGACACUUGGUUAAUCAAUCUCAAAUGUCUGAAAUGGAUCAUGACCGAAUCUGGAAUCAUCCGCACCCUGAUUCUCACCUGAACUUGGAAAAUGGUUCUUAGUUCGUCCUUCUGAGAAUGCAGCAGUCAAUGGGGUGAAUUCAGUGGCUAUUUUAACAUGAUUCCUAGAUCAAAUGACCCCAUUGCCUACUUCAGAGAUUCCAAAUUACAUGGCAGUUGGACCCUCACAUGAUCCCUACCUGCAUACUCCAUCUGCUGCCAGCUCUAGUCGGCUUCCACCAAGUUAUGUUCAGCAUGGGCCUCCUUUCUACAACCAACAUGCAAUUGGGGAUGUAGGCAGCACAAUUAAUCCUCAAAUGGACUAUGGAAGAGCAUCAUACAAAAGAAAAAUCCCAGCACUCGCAAUUUUCUGACAGGGGAACACCAGUGGAUAUUAUAGUGCUGGUAGUUCUUCCAAUCUUCCCAUGUCGAAUGAGCAAUUACAGCCAAAGCCUUAUCAGGUCCUCAUUGCUGCCUUGGGAGCCCGUUAGCACAGUCCCUAGUUAUGGAAGCAGCAAUCUUUUGACUUUUGGAGAAGGACCCCGGAGGAAUGUCAGGAGCGACAUAAUCAUGCCCGUCACAUGGAAACCAUCCCAGUUGGGUUCAUGCAUCUAACAACUUGCCUCAACAUUUUCAAGCAACAGUGAAUACUGCUGUUUGGGUGUGGUAGGACAUUGGAGCCAAAAUUCUGUCUCUAUGGAUCCCCAAGAACGGUUCUCUCUUCAGAAGUUAGCUCCAAUCAUGAGAUUAGUCAGUCCCUUGCGGGAAGCAGUGUCACCGAUAACAAUAUGGAGAUCGAUGGUGGGUACCACACCAAUCUCAUUGCAAGUAGAAGUCCGAGUACCAUGCCAAGUCUUCAGGGUCCUCCAACACGAGGCGCAGGGCUGGCCCACAGUAGUUACAGUCAAAGAACUUACAGGGCCAUUCCAAACUACCCAUCCGUGGGUUUUGCAGCCACUUUGGAAGAUGAUAGGCGGCCAGGAGUGGAAACUGCGAUGCCUCCUAGACAUCCAAGACCACCGUCUAUUAUGGGGCAUAAUAAUGAGAGGAAUGGAAGGGCAAGGAAUUUCUAUGAUAGAUUCCAGUCAUUCUCAGAUGAGGACAAUACUCGCAGUAGAUGGAUCUCUGAGGGUGUAGCUAUAAUGGACCGGUCAACUUCUAUGAUUCCAGGAAUUUCUUUGAUCAGCACCGUGACAUGAGACUGGACAUCGACAGCAUGAGCUAUGAGGAGCUGCUUGCACUGGAGAAAGAAUUGGAAAUGUCAGCACAGGCUUGUCGUCAGAUGCCAUCUCAAGAUGCUUGAUGGAGACGAUACUAUUCUUGCAAACAGAAUCAGGAUGACGAGGAAGAAUUGAAGUGUGCAAUUUGCCUGGAAGAGUACCGAGAUGGGGAAAGCAUUGGGAGACUAAAAUGUGGACAUGAUUUCCAUGCCAGCUGCAUAAAGCAAUGGUUGCUGAUAAAGAAUGCCUGCCCGAUCUGCAAAGCCUCAGCCUUGGAAGAUAAUAUGAAGUAAAAAUAAAUGGUUUCUCCAUAAUUAUGAUGGUUAAGAUAGAUCUAGUCACUCUCCUCAUUUGUACAUACUCCGCCAAUGGUGGACAUGACAUGUUUACAGAUUUGAAACAGCAUUUCUUCCGUGUUAAUAUGUUGCAGGCGUUUCAGAUUU